AGGCCUAACACAUGCAAGUCGAGGGGCAGCACGUCUUCGGAUGGUGGCGACCGGCGCACGGGUGCGUAACACGUAUGCAACUUACCUUCUACAGGAGGAUAACCCGUUGAAAGACGGACUAAUACUCCAUAAUACAGGGGUCCCGCCUGGGAAUAUUUGUUAAAGAUUUAUCGGUAGAAGAUGGGCAUGCGCAUGAUUAGCUGGUUGGUAGGGUAACGGCCUACCAAGGCAACGAUCAUUAGGGGUUCUGAGAGGAAGGUCCCCCACACUGGUACUGAGACACGGACCAGACUCCUACGGGAGGCAGCAGUGAGGAAUAUUGGUCAAUGGGCGAGAGCCUGAACCAGCCAAGUCGCGUGAAGGAUGAAGGUAUUAUGUAUUGUAAACUUCUUUUGUAUGGGAAUAAGGUGGGCUACGUGUAGUUUUUUGUAUGUACCAUACGAAUGAGGAUCGGCUAACUCCGUGCCAGCAGCCGCGGUAAUACGGAGGAUCCGAGCGUUAUCCGGAUUUAUUGGGUUUAAAGGGUGCGUAGGCGGAAGGUUAAGUCAGUGGUGAAAGUUUGCAGCUCAACUGUAAAAUUGCCAUUGAAACUGAUUUUCUUGAGUGCAAAUGAGGUAGGCGGAAUGUGUAGUGUAGCGGUGAAAUGCUUAGAUAUUACCCAGAACUCCGAUUGCGAAGGCAGCUUACUGGGGAUGCAGCUGACGCUGAAGCACGAAAGCGUGGGGAUCAAACAGGAUUAGAUACCCUGGUAGUCCACGCCGUAAACGAUGAAUACUAGCUGUAUGCGAUAUACUGUAUGCGGCACAGCGAAAGCGUUAAGUAUUCCACCUGGGGAGUACGUUCGCAAGAAUGAAACUCAAAGGAAUUGACGGGGGCCCGCACAAGCGGAGGAACAUGUGGUUUAAUUCGAUGAUACGCGAGGAACCUUACCCGGGCUUGAAAUGCAUCUGACCGAAGUGGAAACACUUUUUCUAGCAAUAGCAGAUGUGUAGGUGCUGCAUGGUUGUCGUCAGCUCGUGCCGUGAGGUGUCGGCUUAAGUGCCAUAACGAGCGCAACCCUUAUUGUUAGUUACCAUCAUUCAGUUGGGGACUCUAACAAGACUGCCACCGUAAGGUGCGAGGAAGGUGGGGAUGACGUCAAAUCAGCACGGCCCUUACGUCCGGGGCGACACACGUGUUACAAUGGGGGGUACAGAGGGUUGCUACCUGGUGACAGGAUGCUAAUCUCCAAAAGCCUCUCUCAGUUCGGAUCGAAGUCUGCAACUCGACUUCGUGAAGCUGGAUUCGCUAGU
Molecule: ribosomal RNA, 1292 nt
Filed under: uncultured bacterium
Lineage: Bacteria
Description: bacterial SSU rRNA
Rfam family: Bacterial small subunit ribosomal RNA
Source: RNAcentral